RNAcentral lists this small RNA (67 nucleotides) under Bacillus sp. MUM 13. Its description in RNAcentral is "Bacillaceae-1 RNA". It matches the Rfam family "Bacillaceae-1 RNA". The record is from Rfam by way of RNAcentral. Lineage: Bacteria; Bacillati; Bacillota; Bacilli; Caryophanales; Bacillaceae.
UUCAUAGGAUCAAAGACUAAAGACGCCACAUCCUGUGGCAACGUCUUUGUGACCCCCAUCCUGGGGG